GCUACACAUGCAGUCGAACGGAGAAUCAGCAAUGGUUCUUAGUGGCGAACGGGUGAGUAACGCGUAGACAACCUGCCUCAAAGAUGGGGACAACACCGCGAAAGUGGUGCUAAUACCGAAUGUUGCAUUGGAUUCGCAUGAAUCUGAUACUAAAGGUGGCCUCUUUAAAUGCUACCGCUUUGAGAUGGGUCUGCGUCUGAUUAGCUAGUUGGUGAGGUAACAGCUCACCAAGGCGAUGAUCAGUAGCCGGUCUGAGAGGAUGAACGGCCACACUGGGACUGAGACACGGCCCAGACUCCUACGGGAGGCAGCAGUGGGGAAUCUUCCGCAAUGGACGAAAGUCUGACGGAGCAACGCCGCGUGAGUGAAGAAGGUUUUCGGAUCGUAAAGCUCUGUCUUUGAGGACGAAUGUGCUUAAUGUAAAUAAUGUUAAGUAAUGACGGUACUCGAGGAGGAAGCCACGGCUAACUACGUGCCAGCAGCCGCGGUAAUAUGUAGGUGGCAAGCGUUGUCCGGAAUUAUUGGGCGUAAAGCGCGCGCAGGCGGGAUAUUAAGUCUGUCUUAAAAGUUCGGGGCUCAACCCCGUGAUGGGAUGGAAACUAAUAUUCUUGAGUGCAGGAGAGGAAAGUGGAAUUCCCAGUGUAGCGGUGAAAUGCGUAGAUAUUGGGAGGAACACCAGUGGCGAAGGCGACUUUCUGGACUGUGUCUGACGCUGAGGCGCGAAAGCCAGGGGAGUGAACGGGAUUAGAUACCCCGGUAAUCCUGGCCGUAAACGAUGGGUACUAGGUGUAGGAGGUAUCGACCCCUUCUGUGCCGGAGUUAACGCAAUAAGUACCCCGCCUGGGGAGUACGGCCGCAAGGUUGAAACUCAAGGAAUUGACGGGGGCCCGCACAAGCGGUGGAGUAUGUGGUUUAAUUCGACGCACGCGAGACCUUACCAGGACUUGACAUCGAUUGAAGUUCUAGA
RNAcentral lists this ribosomal RNA (967 nucleotides) under bacterium enrichment culture clone aHCH4_B9. RNAcentral describes it as "bacterial SSU rRNA". It matches the Rfam family "Bacterial small subunit ribosomal RNA", at positions 48 to 1003 of the family's 1533-position model. The record is from RNAcentral.